This 252-nucleotide ribosomal RNA is filed under the name uncultured bacterium. RNAcentral's name for it is "partial 16S ribosomal RNA". It matches the Rfam family "Bacterial small subunit ribosomal RNA", at positions 525 to 776 of the family's 1533-position model. The record is from RNAcentral.
ACGGAGGGUGCAAGCGUUAAUCGGAAUUACUGGGCGUAAAGCGAGUGCAGGCGGUCGCGUGUGUCGGGUGUGAAAGCCCCGGGCUCAACCUGGGAAUUGCAUCCGAAACUGCGUGACUAGAAUAUGGUAGAGGAAGACGGAAUUCCACGUGUAGCGGUGAAAUGCGUAGAUAUGUGGAGGAACACCAAUGGCGAAGGCAGUCUUCUGGGCCAAUAUUGACGCUGAGGCUCGAAAGCGUGGGUAGCAAACAGG